This is a long non-coding RNA of Cottoperca gobio, 1104 nucleotides long. RefSeq lists it as uncharacterized. The transcript has 4 exons. NCBI's taxonomy places the organism in Eukaryota, Metazoa, Chordata, Actinopteri, Perciformes, Bovichtidae. The record is from RefSeq and is a predicted model, not a curated record.
UAAAAAUACAGGAUAAUCCCGGGAAAAACGUGAGGGUUGACAGGUAUGGUGGUCAUCCUGUAUGGAUCCAAGCAUUAAACUGCACAGCAAAAACUGGAGAGUUGACAUUUCAGGGUUAAACAUUUCCGAGUUGAUUUCAACUCACGAAGUGUUACUUUAACAUUUUCUGAUUGAAAUGGUGUUUAUUGUUGGAGUUAUUUCACAGUGUUAAUCAUGUCAGAGUUAGACCAACUCUGCAGAGACGUGAUUAAGCUCCGCCCCUGUAUUUCACUGCUUCGGUUGGAGACGAGUCCGCGAUAAAUCAGCUCAAUUUUCUCUCCUCAUGCGGUUGACAGGUAAAAAUGUUGGUCCAGGUGAAGUACAGACAACAGCACAAGUAUGUGAAAUUGGAUGCAGUUGAAGGACAGUUUGACUUUCUACAAUUCAAUGAAAAAGGUGGAUCAAGACUUCACCCUCCUAUUUGAUCAUGAAACAUCCUCCAGGCUCCUUCAGAAAUGUGUUCUUCAGUCCAAAUGUCAUAAAAGAGGCUAAGUGGCUUACUUCAACACCCAGAGUUGCGUCGCUUGUUGCAGAGAGUCCCACAGGAAGUGAUCUUGAUGAGACAACAAUCAUGCUGCAGUUUGGAGGAGCAUCUCCACAACCAGCAGGGUCGACAGCCAUACCUCCUCGCUGUUGGGCGUCAGAAGAGCAAGAUUGACAGCUUCUACAUCACCAUGGAUAAGCAUCUCAUCCCACGCCAGGCAAACCGCUCCCUCCCAUGGGGCUUUCGACGAACUUUCCAAAACCCAUUUUGUGUUUAAUUUGUCGUACGAUGCUGCGUUACUGAAUUUUUACACAUUCUUGCAGAGAACAGUGUAUAACAUUGAUGUGGGGAAAAUGAAGGAGUCAGUCAGAGUCUUGAGAGCCAGACUGCUUGACCAGCUAGUACCGGUCUCACUCUCUGAGUAAGAGGCUAAAACAAUACUGACCGGUUUCAUGUGUCAGAAUUUGUAUCCCAGCAGCCAGAAGUUGAUGGUGUUAUACUGGAACUGUUGAUAAAUGAUAUAAAAUUACUGAAAACCCAAGGCCUUAGUCUUAGUAGUGUUUGAUUAAGAGGAAUGCUUC